Ictalurus punctatus (channel catfish) is the source of this 1387-nucleotide long non-coding RNA. The record is from Ensembl. NCBI's taxonomy places the organism in Eukaryota, Metazoa, Chordata, Actinopteri, Siluriformes, Ictaluridae.
AAUCUAUUCAUCCAUCCAGCUGCAUCAUCCAUCACCCAUUUUCUUUCUUUCCUUCUUACCUUCUCAACCUCUUGUUUUUUCCUUAACUUUAUUACUUUCCUUGCCUUCAUUUUUCAUAUUUUGUCAUUUCCUUUGUUGUGCUUUUGUCUCUCCCAGUUUAUCUCCACUCUUACCUUUAUUCUUAAUCUGAUUUCCCUAUUUUCUUCCUCCUUUAUCUUCUUACCUUCAUUUAUUUCGUUUUUUUUUACCUUUUUCUUAUUCUUUUUUCUUUCUUUUGAACUUUAUUUAUUUCUUUGCUUCACAUCUUUUCCCCCCUGUCUUUCUUUCUCAUCUCCUCUUCUUUUCCUUGCCUUCUUUACCUUUAUUUACUUUCUUUCCGACCUCCUUCCUUAUGCUAUUUCUUUCUUCCAAUGGAAUUUUUUUAAACCUCUCUUCCUUCCUUCUCUCCUUCUUCUAAACUGCUUUCCAUUUUCAUUCCUUCUUGGUCUUUCUUUUUUUUUUGUCUUCCUUUCCCACUCCUUCGUUCAAAUUCACUUCAUUGUGACAGUUCAGUUCAUUGUUCCAAACUCCUUCAUUUAUUCUUCUAUUCUAACUUUUAUUUCAGUUGCUCUGUCUUUCUCUCAUUCUUCCUUAUAUUAUUUAUUAUCCUUCUUUGUUUAAAACGUUCACACCUUUCUUUCAUUCUUACCUUCUAGGUUCCCUUUCUUACCUUCUUUCUAAUCAUUUUUAAAAACGUUCUUCCUUUUGCUUUCUCUACCGUUCUCAUCUUUUUUUCCUUCACUGUCUGUCAAUCCCUCUGCCCUGGCUAUUGCUAUAUACACACAAAUAUAUACGGGUGUACAUGUAUAAAUAUAUGUGUGUGUAUAUAUAUAUAAAUAAAAGAAGCAGAAGAAGAAGGAAAAAGGAAAAAAAAAACCCGAAACAACUCCAGCGCAUAUGAAUCCACAUCCACAGCAUUGAAAACAGCUCAUCUUCAAACAAACAAUGCCCAUGUCAUUCAUAUUCAUAUACUUCCUGAAAAUCAAACCCUACAGGACAUUCCAUUUCAAAGUAUUUUACAUUUAGAUUUCAACACACCAAAAUAGACCACGGGGAAGAGAAAGCCUUAUUAUUAGUUACCCAUGGUGCACUGGGCAACAUUUAGAGCCCACAUUCUCUACUACUUCCUUUUUGAGGCCGCAAACAAAUUUGGCCCGACGACUAAUAUACGUUUCCAUCUUGGAACCUUAAAACGGAAGGAAUAUUAUUAGCAUUGCAGUAGCAUGUCAAUGCUCGCUCUUUCUGACGACUCCAUUAAUUGGCAGGCCAUUAGGAGCACUAAUUGCGCAAUGAGGCGAGUGAAGACUGUGACCAGCCGUCAUUCAUGGCUUAAUAAACCUGCAGUGAC